AUUGAACGCUGGCGGCAUGCCUUACACAUGCAAGUCGAACGGCAGCGCGGACUUCGGUCUGGCGGCGAGUGGCGAACGGGUGAGUAAUACAUCGGAACGUACCCUGUUGUGGGGGAUAACUAGUCGAAAGAUUAGCUAAUACCGCAUACGACCUGAGGGUGAAAGUGGGGGACCGCAAGGCCUCACGCAGCAGGAGCGGCCGAUGUCUGAUUAGCUAGUUGGUGGGGUAAAGGCCCACCAAGGCGACGAUCAGUAGCUGGUCUGAGAGGACGGUCAGCCAAACUGGGACGGAGACACGGCCCAGACUCCUACGGGAGGCAGCAGUGGGGAAUUUUGGACAAUGGGGGCAACCCUGAUCCAGCAAUGCCGCGUGUGUGAAGAAGGCCUUCGGGUUGUAAAGCACUUUUGUCCGGAAAGAAAUCGCGCUGGUUAAUACCUGGCGUGGAUGACGGUACCGGAAGAAUAAGCACCGGCUAACUACGUGCCAGCCGCCGCAGUAA
Molecule: ribosomal RNA, 500 nt
Filed under: uncultured bacterium
Lineage: Bacteria
Description: partial 16S ribosomal RNA
Rfam family: Bacterial small subunit ribosomal RNA
Source: RNAcentral